RNAcentral lists this signal recognition particle RNA (86 nucleotides) under Streptococcus sp. RNAcentral describes it as "signal recognition particle sRNA small type". It matches the Rfam family "Bacterial small signal recognition particle RNA". Rfam says of the family: The signal recognition particle (SRP) is a universally conserved ribonucleoprotein involved in the co-translational targeting of proteins to membranes. The record is from RNAcentral. Lineage: Bacteria; Bacillati; Bacillota; Bacilli; Lactobacillales; Streptococcaceae.
UUCUCGGAGCAACAGUUUGACGUGAAGCGGGUCAGGGGAGGAAUCCAGCAGCCCUAAGCGUUCUAAACUGUGUGCUCUUUUUUUGU